GCCGAGGUAGUCCAGCCCGGUAAGGCGCGAGCCUGGAAAGCUCGUGGGGACCUCCCCUCGGGAGUUCGAAUCUCCCCCUCGGCGCCA
This 87-nucleotide transfer RNA is filed under the name Candidatus Methanoplasma porotermitis. RNAcentral's name for it is "tRNA-Ser". It matches the Rfam family "tRNA". From Rfam's summary of the family: Transfer RNA (tRNA) molecules are approximately 80 nucleotides in length. Their secondary structure includes four short double-helical elements and three loops (D, anti-codon, and T loops). The record is from RNAcentral. Lineage: Archaea; Methanobacteriati; Thermoplasmatota; Thermoplasmata; Methanomassiliicoccales; Methanomassiliicoccaceae.